UGGGGAAUAUUGCACAAUGGGCGAAAGCCUGAUGCAGCAACGCCGCGUGAGUGAUGAAGGCCUUCGGGUUGUAAAGCUCUGUCUUUUGGGACGAUAAUGACGGUACCAAAGGAGGAAGCCACGGCUAACUACGUGCCAGCAGCCGCGGUAAUACGUAGGUGGCAAGCGUUGUCCGGAUUUACUGGGCGUAAAGGAUGCGUAGGCGGAUUUUUAAGUGAGAUGUGAAAACCCUAAGCUUAACUUGGGGACUGCAUUUCAUACUGGAAAUCUAGAGUGCGGGAGAGGAGAAUGGAAUUCCUAGUGUAGCGGUGAAAUGCGUAGAGAUUAGGAAGAACACCAGUGGCGAAGGCGAUUCUCUGGACCGUAACUGACGCUGAGGCAUGAAAGCGUGGGUAGCAAACAGGAUUAGAUACCCUGGUAGUCCACGCCGUAAACGAUGAGUACUAGGUGUAGGAGGUAUCGACCCCUUCUGUGCCGCAGUUAACACAAUAAGUACUCCGCCUGGGAAGUACGAUUGCAAGAUU
Molecule: ribosomal RNA, 524 nt
Filed under: uncultured bacterium
Lineage: Bacteria
Description: partial 16S ribosomal RNA
Rfam family: Bacterial small subunit ribosomal RNA
Source: RNAcentral